RNAcentral lists this ribosomal RNA (971 nucleotides) under uncultured bacterium. RNAcentral describes it as "bacterial SSU rRNA". It matches the Rfam family "Bacterial small subunit ribosomal RNA", at positions 8 to 1006 of the family's 1533-position model. The record is from RNAcentral.
AGAGUUUGAUCAUGGCUCAGCCUGAACGCUGGCGGCGUGGCUAAGACAUGCAAGUCGAACGGUGUAGCAAUACACAGUGGCGGACGGGUGAGUAAUGUAUCGCUAAUGUGCCCUAGAGCCAGGGAUAGCCAUCCGAAGGGGUGGGUAAUACCUGAUGAAAUAAUCCUACCGCAUGGCAGGAUUCUCAAAGCAGCAAUGCACUCCUGGAGCAGGCGAUAUCGUAUCAGCUAGUUGGUGAGGUAACGGCUCACCAAGGCGAUGACGCGUAGCUGGUCUGAGAGGACGGCCAGCCACAUCGGGACUGAGACACUGCCCGGACUCCUACGGGGGGCUGCAGUAACGAAUCUUCCGCAAUGCACGAAAGUGUGACGGAGCGACGCCGCGUGGAGGAGAAGUCCUUCGGGAUGUAAACUCCUGUCAGGGGAAAGAAAGUUCUGAUCUACCCCAGAGGAAGAGGCGGCUAACUCUGUGCCAGCAGCCGCGGUAAUACAGAGGCCUCGAGCGUUAGGCGGAAUCACUGGGCUUAAAGCGUGUGUAGGUGGAUGCCUAAGUACUUUGUGAAAUCCCACGGCUUAACCGUGGAAUUGCUUGGUAUACUGGGUGUCUUGAGCCACUCAGGGGCUACCGGAACAAACGGUGGAGCGGUGAAAUGCGUAGAUAUCGUUUGGAACGCCAAUGGUGAAAACAGGUAGCUGGGGGUGUGCUGACACUGAGACACGAAAGCCAGGGGAGCGAACGGGAUUAGAUACCCCGGUAGUCCUGGCCCUAAACGAUGUCCACUAGAUCGUGGUCCCUUGACGGGGAUCAUGGUCGAAGCAAAAGUGCUAAGUGGACCGCCUGGGAAGUACGGUCGCAAGGCUAAAACUCAAAGGAAUUGACGGGGGCUCACACAAGCGGUGGAGCAUGUGGUUCAAUUCGAAGCAACGCGCAGAACCUUACCUGGGCUUGACAUGCUAGGAUUAUCCCUGGUG